ACAGCUGAUUCGAACUAUCAAAAAUUGUGUAGCUACAAAAAUAUUUACAUGUAAGCAAUGCCUCGCAGAAGUGGAAAAGAAAAAUUACUAAACGGACUGUGUUUAAAAAACAUGUUGGAAUUGCUGCUCCAAGAUUCAAGAAGUGAAGAUGAGGACUGCGAUAUUCUAAUGGACUUUAAUGUUAGUGCAGCAAUAAUUUUGUCCUCAAGAAGAUGCAGCCACGUAAAUGUGCCAAAAUCUACAAAUUGGAUUAACACAAUCCAUACAAUCGUAUGCGGCAAAUGUUACGACUGGAAACUCCGGAAUUUCAACAUAUUUUAAGCUUAAUCAAAGAAGAUACUGCUUUUAAAAAUAAAAAUUCGGUUCCUCAAAUGCCAGUGGAAUUGCAAUUAAA
This 394-nucleotide long non-coding RNA is filed under the name Bactrocera tryoni. RNAcentral describes it as "uncharacterized LOC120781682". The record is from RNAcentral. Lineage: Eukaryota; Metazoa; Arthropoda; Insecta; Diptera; Tephritidae.